CCUACGGGAGGCAGCAGUGAGGAAUAUUGGUCAAUGGCCGCAGGGCUGAACCAGCCAAGUCGCGUGAGGGAUGACGGUCCUAUGGAUUGUAAACCUCUUUUGUCAGGGAGCAAAGCGCGCCACGUGUGGCGUUUUUCGGGUACCUGAAGGAAAAGCAUCGGCAAACUCCGUGCCAGCCGCCGCGGUAAUACGGAGGAUUCGAGAGUUAUCCGGAUUUAUUGGGUUUAAAGGGUGGGAAGGCGGAAUGUCAAGUCAGCGGUAAAAUUUCGGGGCUCAACCCCGUCGUGCCGUUGAAACUGGCGUUCUUGAGUGAGCGAGAAGUAUGCGGAAUGCGUGGUGUAGCGGUGAAAUGCAUAGAUAUCACGCAGAACUCCGAUUGCGAAGGCAGCAUACCGGCGCUCAACUGACGCUCAUGCACGAAAGCGUGGGUAUCGAACAGGAUUAGAUACCCUAGUAGUC
Molecule: ribosomal RNA, 459 nt
Filed under: uncultured bacterium
Lineage: Bacteria
Description: partial 16S ribosomal RNA
Rfam family: Bacterial small subunit ribosomal RNA
Source: RNAcentral